UACAGAGGUGGCAAGCGUUGUUCGGAAUUACUGGGCGUAAAGGGCGCGUAGGCGGUCCCGUAAGUUCCGCGUGAAAUCCCCCGGCUCAACCGGGGAAUGGCGCGGAAAACUGCGGGGCUUGAGUUCGGGAGAGGGAAGCGGAAUUCCGGGUGUAGCGGUGAAAUGCGUAGAUAUCCGGAGGAACACCGGUGGCGAAGGCGGCUUCCUGGACCGACACUGACGCUGAGGCGCGAAAGCUAGGGGAGCGAACGGG
RNAcentral lists this ribosomal RNA (253 nucleotides) under uncultured bacterium. Its description in RNAcentral is "partial 16S ribosomal RNA". It matches the Rfam family "Bacterial small subunit ribosomal RNA", at positions 524 to 776 of the family's 1533-position model. The record is from RNAcentral.